RNAcentral lists this long non-coding RNA (246 nucleotides) under Malus domestica (apple). Its description in RNAcentral is "long non-coding RNA (MDOM_LNC020326)". Lineage: Eukaryota; Viridiplantae; Streptophyta; Magnoliopsida; Rosales; Rosaceae. The record is from RNAcentral.
GCAAAAAAUGAAAGAUUAGUUCAAAAGAAGAUGAUAUAGAGAGAGAUUGAAGGCUCUUGAAUUGAUUGAUGUCUCUGAUACAAUAGGUCUAGCAUAAUACACAAACACACAUUACACCAAAUGUUCUAAUGCAAUUUGUAGAUUUUUUUUUUAACUUUUCAACUAAUUAAGUUAUUACAUGGGAACUUUAACGAAAAGCUUACAGUAUUAUUCACUUUAACGAAAAAUCUCAUUUUUACACUAAAA